This 250-nucleotide ribosomal RNA is filed under the name Salmonella enterica subsp. enterica. RNAcentral describes it as "partial 16S ribosomal RNA". It matches the Rfam family "Bacterial small subunit ribosomal RNA", at positions 546 to 795 of the family's 1533-position model. Lineage: Bacteria; Pseudomonadati; Pseudomonadota; Gammaproteobacteria; Enterobacterales; Enterobacteriaceae. The record is from RNAcentral.
CGGAAUUACUGGGCGUAAAGCGUGCGCAGGCGGUUAUGUAAGACAGAUGUGAAAUCCCCGGGCUCAACCUGGGAACUGCAUUUGUGACUGCAUGGCUAGAGUACGGUAGAGGGGGAUGGAAUUCCGCGUGUAGCAGUGAAAUGCGUAGAUAUGCGGAGGAACACCGAUGGCGAAGGCAAUCCCCUGGACCUGUACUGACGCUCAUGCACGAAAGCGUGGGGAGCAAACAGGAUUAGAUACCCUGGUAGUC